This 2700-nucleotide long non-coding RNA is filed under the name Sinocyclocheilus grahami. RNAcentral's name for it is "lncRNA (ENSSGRG00000019629.1)". Lineage: Eukaryota; Metazoa; Chordata; Actinopteri; Cypriniformes; Cyprinidae. The record is from RNAcentral.
CUUGAGUGUUAAGUUGUAUAUCCUAACAUACAAGCUUUAUUUCAUCUUUCUUCUGUUUUCCCUCCACAGUUCAAAGGAGCAGACUGAGGAAGACAGAAGUGAUGCCGUAAACAUCGAUGCCAAAGAGAGCUUGGAGGACAAGAGGCGGUAUGAUCUAGCCUGUCCUCCUGUAGUGACUUACGGCAGGUACCGUGGAUUGAGGGAAGUCCGGAAACCAAAGAAGAAGCAUCGCGUCGAGCUUCAUUCGCCUAUCUCUGAGGGAGAAGAGGCUACACAAUCCGACGGCCAUGAGGACAGUGAGAUCUCCUCUUGCGCUGUGAACACCAUGAGCUCUGAUAGUCAGGAAAACCCCACUCUCGUAAAUCAAGCAUCUCCUUCCCAGGCUCAGAGUGUCUUAUCAGACCAGGUUCCUGAACUAACUCCAGCCCACCAACUCCCCCAUGUUGCAGGAUCUGGCCUGUCGCUUUCCUGUGUAGAGACAGAACAAAGUCCGCCGAAGGACCCAGUGAACAGCGGACAGGAGCAUCUUGCUCGGAGUGCUACGCCACAGACGCUAUCGGGGGACAACGAUGAUCUGACCAUUUCAGACACCAACACAGACCAUCACGACACUCAGAGAUCAGAGUCAUCUUUAAUUGUAGACAGAACGGAUGAUCUAGUCCCUGGUUCUCAGACGUGCUGGACUCUGGAGGAGUUUGAGCUGAAACGGGCUGCGGUGGAUUUUGGGAUGGAUGAAGAAGUCCUGCAAUUGGAGUCUAAAAAGAUGGUGGAUAACAUCCUGACAAAUGCCCUCGCUGCCCUGCACAAGAUGGAAGCAUCUGAGACGGAGCGUGAGGUCCUGUCGACCCAUGAACCCAGCGAAGGCUCCGAGGCAGUGCUGUUUGAAGGAUCAGAUGGCCGUGGAGAUGGCGGCACUAAUGCAGAGCAUCAGUUUGGCGUGAUGUUGACGGACCAGACAUUGUCUGCGGUUCUCGAGGGAACGCUAGCAGGCCAUGUGGACUGCAGCAGGUCACCGCCCUCCUCAGGGUACGAGUCCAUCGCUGGCUCCGACACGGACAUCAGGUGCAUCGUGGGCGUGGCCUCUGACGUCGUCACUAGCAGCGCUCCAAUCGGCUCUCAGAAUGAGAAUCAAGCCGUUCUUGAAAAUCUUUCUGAAGAAAAGAACGUGGAUGGAACCCGUAAGAGCAGCGGGAGAAACUCUGUGCUCAGUGCUGCUGCUGAUGAGCCAUUAUCCCCUAAUCUCCAUAAAACAGACAUCAAGCUCUUGUCGGAGGAGUCUCUCUGGCGUGAGCAGCACACGGGUGACGUCUCCGUAUGUGAAGCGGAGUGGGUAAGAGGGGAAAAGAGACCUCAGGAUACAGCCAAAGACAAUGCAAUGAGCAAUAACUGUAGACUCAGCCUGAAUGGUUCCUGUGGCACUUCUGGCACGGCUCCAUCAGCGCAUCAGGAGAGUCUUCAACAAAGCCAAACUCUCAGUGCAAUGGGAAAGUCAGACCCCGUUAGCCACAGUCUUGCAUCUGACACAGCGGAUGCAGAUAUGAUGUCAGAAAUCCCACAAAGCCAUCAACCUGAGAAGACUGAAGGCAGUGGUGAGCAGGAACAGGUCUGCCGAGUCUCUCGGGCUGGAAUAGAUUCAUGUGUCCUGCCAUCCGUGACUGAAGUCCACCAUCCUUCUCAGUGGGCCACGGUCCAAGCGUUUCGCUGCGACGUCACCGAUUACCAAAGCCUGAGCCCCGCUACACUCCAGACAGAGCUCGGCGUGAACCGAGCAGAUGCUGGAUCGCCAGUCGUGUCAGUUUCCGGUCGUAGAAUUCACCUCGACGCCGUGGACAGCUCCAGCAGAACUGCGGCUGUCGUUCCCCAACACUCCCGGUUUCACGAUCUUGACCUCCACCAGGUCGAUGGAGGCUUCGCCAUCAUCAGCGAGGAGGAGGAGAGUGACAUGGUGUUCGUGAACGACAUGGGGCCCAUGCACAGUCCUAGCACACGUCGAGCCAAAGCAUACCCCUUCUCCCUGUCCCCCAUCUAUGAGGAGGAGUUCGGCCGCGAGGAGGCUUCAGGGCAGCAGACACUGCAGGUUCCUCCAGCGACAGAAGAGGAGCAGAGGAGCGUGGAGCAGCCGGCCUCGUCCAUCCUCUCCCUCUUGCAGUCGGUCAGCGAGAAGUUACAGUCCAGUGUGGUCUGCAGUUCAGUCAAGGAGUCCGUCCACGCACCGCUGAGCGGAGACGACAGUGAGGACGAUGACGAGGACUCCAGCAUCCUACAGCGCCGCCAGCUCAUCGAGGCCAAACCUGAGCGUGAGACUGCUAAUGACACUCCGGAUAGAAUACAGGAGGAACGGGAAUGUGAUGACACACUGUUUAAUAUUGGAAAGAACACCAAUACACCUUUCUAUCAGUACUUGAAGUCUGGAAUAAUGCCAUCAGGUGAUGAAGAACCUGAAGACACUAAACGCACUGUGUGUCGUAGCGCAGGCAACACAACGGGAGAGAUCGGAGGGUUCGGAAAGGUCAACCCUAGACCUGCAGCAGUGCUCAUCUACGAGAGUCAGUCGCUGAGCGGUGAGAGGAGAGACAUCUGUGAUGACGUGGAGGAUGCUGGGAGGGAUCUGUUUGCUGACAGGGGAACGCUUCACGCGCUGAGAGGAUGGUAAGCAUGUUUACCUUCAUCAGAUAAUAAGCCUGAGUAAAAUAAUCAAAC